UUAAGCGACUAAGCGUACACGGUGGAUGCCCUGGCAGUCAGAGGCGAUGAAGGACGUGCUAAUCUGCGAUAAGCGUCGGUAAGGUGAUAUGAACCGUUAUAACCGGCGAUUUCCGAAUGGGGAAACCCAGUGUGUUUCGACACACUAUCAUUAACUGAAUCCAUAGGUUAAUGAGGCGAACCGGGGGAACUGAAACAUCUAAGUACCCCGAGGAAAAGAAAUCAACCGAGAUUCCCCCAGUAGCGGCGAGCGAACGGGGAGCAGCCCAGAGCCUGAAUCAGUAUGUGUGUUAGUGGAAGCGUCUGGAAAGGCGCGCGAUACAGGGUGACAGCCCCGUACACAAAAAUGCACAUAUUGUGAGCUCGAUGAGUAGGGCGGGACACGUGGUAUCCUGUCUGAAUAUGGGGGGACCAUCCUCCAAGGCUAAAUACUCCUGACUGACCGAUAGUGAACCAGUACCGUGAGGGAAAGGCGAAAAGAACCCCGGCGAGGGGAGUGAAAAAGAACCUGAAACCGUGUACGUACAAGCAGUGGGAGCACGCUUAGGCGUGUGACUGCGUACCUUUUGUAUAAUGGGUCAGCGACUUAUAUUCUGUAGCAAGGUUAACCGAAUAGGGGAGCCGAAGGGAAACCGAGUCUUAACUGGGCGUUAAGUUGCAGGGUAUAGACCCGAAACCCGGUGAUCUAGCCAUGGGCAGGUUGAAGGUUGGGUAACACUAACUGGAGGACCGAACCGACUAAUGUUGAAAAAUUAGCGGAUGACUUGUGGCUGGGGGUGAAAGGCCAAUCAAACCGGGAGAUAGCUGGUUCUCCCCGAAAGCUAUUUAGGUAGCGCCUCGUGAAUUCAUCUCCGGGGGUAGAGCACUGUUUCGGCAAGGGGGUCAUCCCGACUUACCAACCCGAUGCAAACUGCGAAUACCGGAGAAUGUUAUCACGGGAGACACACGGCGGGUGCUAACGUCCGUCGUGAAGAGGGAAACAACCCAGACCGCCAGCUAAGGUCCCAAAGUCAUGGUUAAGUGGGAAACGAUGUGGGAAGGCCCAGACAGCCAGGAUGUUGGCUUAGAAGCAGCCAUCAUUUAAAGAAAGCGUAAUAGCUCACUGGUCGAGUCGGCCUGCGCGGAAGAUGUAACGGGGCUAAACCAUGCACCGAAGCUGCGGCAGCGACGCUGAUGCGUUGUUGGGUAGGGGAGCGUUCUGUAAGCCUGCGAAGGUGUGCUGUGAGGCAUGCUGGAGGUAUCAGAAGUGCGAAUGCUGACAUAAGUAACGAUAAAGCGGGUGAAAAGCCCGCUCGCCGGAAGACCAAGGGUUCCUGUCCAACGUUAAUCGGGGCAGGGUGAGUCGACCCCUAAGGCGAGGCCGAAAGGCGUAGUCGAUGGGAAACAGGUUAAUAUUCCUGUACUUGGUGUUACUGCGAAGGGGGGACGGAGAAGGCUAUGUUGGCCGGGCGACGGUUGUCCCGGUUUAAGCGUGUAGGCUGGUUUUCCAGGCAAAUCCGGAAAAUCAAGGCUGAGGCGUGAUGACGAGGCACUACGGUGCUGAAGCAACAAAUGCCCUGCUUCCAGGAAAAGCCUCUAAGCAUCAGGUAACAUCAAAUCGUACCCCAAACCGACACAGGUGGUCAGGUAGAGAAUACCAAGGCGCUUGAGAGAACUCGGGUGAAGGAACUAGGCAAAAUGGUGCCGUAACUUCGGGAGAAGGCACGCUGAUAUGUAGGUGAAGUCCCUUGCGGAUGGAGCUGAAAUCAGUCGAAGAUACCAGCUGGCUGCAACUGUUUAUUAAAAACACAGCACUGUGCAAACACGAAAGUGGACGUAUACGGUGUGACGCCUGCCCGGUGCCGGAAGGUUAAUUGAUGGGGUCAGCGCAAGCGAAGCUCUUGAUCGAAGCCCCGGUAAACGGCGGCCGUAACUAUAACGGUCCUAAGGUAGCGAAAUUCCUUGUCGGGUAAGUUCCGACCUGCACGAAUGGCGUAAUGAUGGCCAGGCUGUCUCCACCCGAGACUCAGUGAAAUUGAACUCGCUGUGAAGAUGCAGUGUACCCGCGGCAAGACGGAAAGACCCCGUGAACCUUUACUAUAGCUUGACACUGAACAUUGAGCCUUGAUGUGUAGGAUAGGUGGGAGGCUUGGAAGUGUGGACGCCAGUCUGCAUGGAGCCGACCUUGAAAUACCACCCUUUAAUGUUUGAUGUUCUAACGUUGACCCGUAAUCCGGGUUGCGGACAGUGUCUGGUGGGUAGUUUGACUGGGGCGGUCUCCUCCUAAAGAGUAACGGAGGAGCACGAAGGUUGGCUAAUCCUGGUCGGACAUCAGGAGGUUAGUGCAAUGGCAUAAGCCAGCUUGACUGCGAGCGUGACGGCGCGAGCAGGUGCGAAAGCAGGUCAUAGUGAUCCGGUGGUUCUGAAUGGAAGGGCCAUCGCUCAACGGAUAAAAGGUACUCCGGGGAUAACAGGCUGAUACCGCCCAAGAGUUCAUAUCGACGGCGGUGUUUGGCACCUCGAUGUCGGCUCAUCACAUCCUGGGGCUGAAGUAGGUCCCAAGGGUAUGGCUGUUCGCCAUUUAAAGUGGUACGCGAGCUGGGUUUAGAACGUCGUGAGACAGUUCGGUCCCUAUCUGCCGUGGGCGCUGGAGAACUGAGGGGGGCUGCUCCUAGUACGAGAGGACCGGAGUGGACGCAUCACUGGUGUUCGGGUUGUCAUGCCAAUGGCACUGCCCGGUAGCUAAAUGCGGAAGAGAUAAGUGCUGAAAGCAUCUAAGCACGAAACUUGCCCCGAGAUGAGUUCUCCCUGACCCUUUAAGGGUCCUGAAGGAACGUUGAAGACGACGACGUUGAUAGGCCGGGUGUGUAAGCGCAGCGAUGCGUUGAGCUAACCGGUACUAAUGAACCGUGAGGCUUAACCUU
This 2902-nucleotide ribosomal RNA is filed under the name Escherichia coli. RNAcentral describes it as "bacterial LSU rRNA". It matches the Rfam family "Bacterial large subunit ribosomal RNA". Lineage: Bacteria; Pseudomonadati; Pseudomonadota; Gammaproteobacteria; Enterobacterales; Enterobacteriaceae. The record is from RNAcentral.